AGAGUUUGAUCCUGGCUCAGGACGAACGCUGGCGGCGUGCUUAACACAUGCAAGUCUACGAGAAAGAGGUAGCAAUAUCUCAAGUAAAGUGGCGCAAGGGUGAGUAAUAUGUAAGUAAUCUACCUAUGGGUUCGGAAUAACGUCGAGAAAUCGGCGCUAAUACCGAAUAAUGCAGCGGCAUCGCAUGAUGAUGUUGUUAAAGUUGUCCCGACUUGUCGGGAUAACUCCUAUAGAUGAGCUUGCAUCUGAUUAGCUGGUUGGUAGGGUAGUUGCCUACCAAGGCUACGAUCAGUAGCUGGUCUGAGAGGAUGAUCAGCCACACUGGAACUGAGACACGGUCCAGACUCCUACGGGAGGCAGCAGUGAGGAAUAUUGGGCAAUGGACGGAAGUCUGACCCAGCAACGCCGCGUGGAGGAUGAAUGCCGUAAGGUUGUUUACUCCUUUUGAAGGGGACGAAUAUUCAAGUUCCGUAA
RNAcentral lists this ribosomal RNA (474 nucleotides) under uncultured bacterium. RNAcentral describes it as "bacterial SSU rRNA". It matches the Rfam family "Bacterial small subunit ribosomal RNA", at positions 8 to 465 of the family's 1533-position model. The record is from RNAcentral.